This 492-nucleotide ribosomal RNA is filed under the name uncultured bacterium. Its description in RNAcentral is "partial 16S ribosomal RNA". It matches the Rfam family "Bacterial small subunit ribosomal RNA", at positions 29 to 507 of the family's 1533-position model. The record is from RNAcentral.
AGUGAACGCUGGCGGUAGGCCUAACACAUGCAAGUCGAACGGCAGCACAGUAAGAGCUUGCUCUUACGGGUGGCGAGUGGCGGACGGGUGAGGAAUACAUCGGAAUCUACUUUUUCGUGGGGGAUAACGUAGGGAAACUUACGCUAAUACCGCAUACGACCUACGGGUGAAAGCAGGGGAUCUUCGGACCUUGCGCGAUUGAAUGAGCCGAUGUCGGAUUAGCUAGUUGGCGGGGUAAAGGCCCACCAAGGCGACGAUCCGUAGCUGGUCUGAGAGGAUGAUCAGCCACACUGGAACUGAGACACGGUCCAGACUCCUAAGGGAGGCAGCAGUGGGGAAUAUUUGACAAUGGGCGCAAGCCUGAUCCAGCCAUACCGCGUGGGUGAAAAAGGCCUUCGGGUUGUAAAGCCCUUUUGUUGGGAAAGAAAAGCAGCAGGUUAAUACCCCGCUGUUCUGACGGUACCCAAAGAAUAAGCACCGGCUAACUUCGUG